AGCUGACUUUGGCUGCUGCCUCUGUGCCAGGCCGGUCGGGAUGGAGCCCAGACGCCCGCAUGGAGGAGUUCAGAGUGGGGCAGCUUGUAAGAUCAGUGAGGAGAAGGUUCAGCCUGGGAGCUGCCACAUCCCGGGAGGACUGGAGCCGAGACAACGGCCUCUCGCCUCACAGGAAAUAUUCCACCUGGAAAUUUCAGUGAAUUUCUGAAAAGAUUUUUUGAGGUUUUUUCCUUGGAAAAUGUACAACUAGACCACGAGUCAAACCAAAACCACAUGUCUUGUAUGAAGUCGAUGUCUAUAUUAAAAGUGUUCUCUUGUGGCUGACAAAGA
Molecule: non-coding RNA, 330 nt
Organism: Podarcis muralis (Common wall lizard)
Lineage: Eukaryota; Metazoa; Chordata; Lepidosauria; Squamata; Lacertidae
Source: RefSeq, a predicted model, not a curated record